This 336-nucleotide unclassified non-coding RNA is filed under the name soil metagenome. Its description in RNAcentral is "partial contains 5.8S ribosomal RNA, internal transcribed spacer 2, and large subunit ribosomal RNA". The stretch from base 1 to 120 matches the Rfam family "5.8S ribosomal RNA", at positions 35 to 154 of the family's 154-position model. The record is from RNAcentral.
GAUGAAGAACGUAGCGAAAUGCGAUAAGUAAUGUGAAUUGCAGAAUUCAGUGAAUCAUCGAAUCUUUGAACGCACAUUGCGCCCGCCAGUAUUCUGGCGGGCAUGCCUGUUCGAGCGUCAUUUCAACCAUCAAGCCCCCGGCUUGUGUUGGGGACCUGCGGCUGCCGCAGGCCCUGAAAACCAGUGGCGGGCUCGCUGUCACACCGAGCGUAGUAGAUUUUCAUCUCGCUCAGGGCGUGCUGCGGGUUCCGGCCGUAAAAAGCCUUAUUUACCCAAGGUUGACCUCGGAUCAGGUAGGGAUACCCGCUGAACUUAAGCAUAUCAAUAAGCGGAGGA